UGGGGAAUCUUCCGCAAUGGGCGAAAGCCUGACGGAGCAAUGCCGCGUGAGUGAAGAAGGCCUUCGGGUUGUAAAACUCUGUCCUUAUCGAAGAGAGGUGGGUAUGUGAAUAAUGUACUCAUAGGACGGUAGAUAAGGAGGAAGCCCCGGCUAACUACGUGCCAGCAGCCGCGGUAAUACGUAGGGGCGAGCGUGUCCGGAAUCACUGGGCGUAAAGGGCGCGUAGGCGGUUUAAUAAGUCAGUGGUGAAAACUGAGGGCUCAACCCUCAGCCUGCCACUGAUACUGUUAGACUUGAGUAUGGAAGAGGAGAAUGGAAUUCCUAGUGUAGCGGUGAAAUGCGUAGAUAUUAGGAGGAACACCAGUGGCGAAGGCGAUUCUCUGGGCCAAGACUGACGCUGAGGCGCGAAAGCGUGGGGAGCAAACAGGAUUAGAUACCC
This 439-nucleotide ribosomal RNA is filed under the name uncultured bacterium. RNAcentral's name for it is "bacterial SSU rRNA". It matches the Rfam family "Bacterial small subunit ribosomal RNA", at positions 355 to 787 of the family's 1533-position model. The record is from RNAcentral.